This 497-nucleotide ribosomal RNA is filed under the name uncultured bacterium. Its description in RNAcentral is "partial 16S ribosomal RNA". It matches the Rfam family "Bacterial small subunit ribosomal RNA", at positions 28 to 507 of the family's 1533-position model. The record is from RNAcentral.
GAUGAACGCUGGUGGCGUGCCUAAUACAUGCAAGUCGAGCGAACAGACGAGGAGCUUGCUCCUCUGAUGUUAGCGGCGGACGGGUGAGUAACACGUGGAUAACCUACCUAUAAGACUGGGAUAACUUCGGGAAACCGGAGCUAAUACCGGAUAACAUGUUGAACCGCAUGGUUCAACAGUGAAAGACGGUCUUGCUGUCACUUAUAGAUGGAUCCGCGCCGCAUUAGCUAGUUGGUAAGGUAACGGCUUACCAAGGCAACGAUGCGUAGCCGACCUGAGAGGGUGAUCGGCCACACUGGAACUGAGACACGGUCCAGACUCCUACGGGAGGCAGCAGUAGGGAAUCUUCCGCAAUGGGCGAAAGCCUGACGGAGCAACGCCGCGUGAGUGAAGAAGGUCUUCGGAUCGUAAAACUCUGUUAUUAGGGAAGAACAAAUGUGUAAGUAACUAUGCACGUCUUGACGGUACCUAAUCAGAAAGCCACGGCUAACUACGUG